AUCCCAAGUGUAGCCUGUGUAGUGCUGGCCCUAGGUGUGGCCUGACAGUGUCAGGGCCAAGUGGGGGCGUCCCCCGCUGUCCGGCAAGCUUCGGUCAGCCGAGCACUGUGUGCCUGGUGGCGUGUGUUCACGUGUGCGUGCGCGUGCCCGGAAAGGCAGCAAACAGCUGCGCCCGAGGGCUGUGGCGCUUUCCCUCCCUCCUUCCCUUCCUUCUUCCCUCGUCAGUUCUCCGACCUCCCUCCGUUCCCUGUCCCUCAUCCAUCCAGCUGAAGGGCUCGCUCACUCUCUUCUCCUGUGCUGAAACGGUGCGUGGGGCACUGCUGCCCGGGCCUCACUGUGCUCUGCUUUUCCCCACAGCACUCCCUCAACAUCCUGGGCCAGAAGGUGUCCAUGCACUACAGCGACCCCAAGCCCAAGAUCAAUGAGGACUGGCUGUGUAAUAAGGUACAGGGGCGGUGGGCAGCAGUUGCCAUGGAUUGAAACGGCGGCGGCGGCGGCAGCGNNNNNNNNNNNNNNNNNNNNNNNNNAGCGGCAGCCACAUCUCUGUCUCUCUGGGGCCUCUGAGUGCAGUGGGCGUGGAGGGUUGGCUCAGCCCGAGCAGCUCUGCUCCUUGCCGCCUCCCACCAGUGUGUACCGAGCUUUUCCUCAUGCAGCACGAUCUUGCCUGAAGCCUCAGUAGACUUUAGACAGAUGUUUACGUGAGUGACAGAACGCCAGUGGAGGCAUAACGCGGUGUGUAAAAUGCGGACUUGAGAGCCAGGCUGGCUGAAAUUGGACUCUUCCAAAACUGCCUCGGUUUGGGUCAGGGCAUUUAACCUCUCUGCCUCACUCUCCCCACCUCUAAAAUGCAAACGCUAAUGAAGCCGUACCUCUCCCCAGGGUGGUUGGGAGGAUUGAAAUGUGGUCACGAGGGGGGCGGGGGUCACGCUUGCAACAACACCUGGCUUGCAGUUAGCACCGUUUUAUCCUCAGCUUUUGCCUCUCUCCUCACCCUCCUACACCAGCCACACAAACCUCUUGUCCCCUCUGCUAGCAGUCGAUCCCCAGCAACGCCAAACCAAACUCCUGGGCCUCACAGAUCCAACCUCUCUGCUGACCUUACCAGCUGAGUGAGCUGGACCUCUCGGCCUGCUCCCCUCCCAGAGCCCCUGUGGGUGACUAGCCCGCUGCCCCUCUGUGCUACAUCGGCUUCCUGCUGUGAGGCCCGGAGGCCAGAGGCCACAUGCUGGGCAGAGCCUGGCACGGGAGCAGUGCUCAGCAGCUGACCACGGAACAGAGAGGGAAAUGUGCGGAAAGCCGGGGGUCUCCAGAGGCUGCACUGCCCACAGCAGAUUUAUUUCUCCAGAGAGGCAGGAUCCAGCCCAGUCCUCGAGACAAAGGAGGGCUGGGAGUCUGGCAGGAGAGGGGCUCCUGGCUUUGGGGGGUAGAAAUGGUGAAGGUCUCUGAAUAGGGAAGCAUGUUUUGGGAAGAGGAGUCUACCAAAGGAACUCGGUAGGGGGCAGUUCCGGGAGUUGCUACCGCAGAGGAGGUGGCAGCUGGUAACCGAGGUGGGGGGGUGUGGAUUCCCGAGUUGAGGAGCUGGCCCUGAGGACAAACUCGGGACCACGUAAAGGGAGGAUUCACGGGACUGAGAAUGACAGCCAAAGCCGCUGGCCACCCCUGACCCUGGGACCUUCCCCGGGGGCA
This 1686-nucleotide long non-coding RNA is filed under the name Sus scrofa (pig). Its description in RNAcentral is "lncRNA (ENSSSCG00005042968.1)". The record is from RNAcentral. Lineage: Eukaryota; Metazoa; Chordata; Mammalia; Artiodactyla; Suidae.